AGAAUCAACGCUGGCGGCGUGCCUAACACAUGCAAGUCGCACGAGAAAGGGGAGCAAUCCCUGAGUACAGUGGCGCACGGGUGAGUAACACGUGAAUAAUCUACCUCCGAGUGGGGAAUAACUGAGAGAAAUCUUAGCUAAUACCGCAUAAUACCCACGGGUCAAAGCAGCAAUGCGCUUAGAGAGGAGUUCGCGGCAGAUUAGUUAGUUGGCGGGGUAAUGGCCCACCAAGACGAUGAUCUGUAUCCGGCCUGAGAGGGCGCACGGACACACUGGAACUGAAACACGGUCCAGACUCCUACGGGAGGCAGCAGUGGGGAAUUUUCCGCAAUGGGCGAAAGCCUGACGGAGCAAUGCCGCGUGGAGGUAGAAGGCCCACGGGUCGUAAACUCCUUUUCUCAGAGAAGAAACAAUGACGGUAUCUGAGGAAUAAGCAUCGGCUAACUCUGCGCCAGCAGCCGCGGU
Molecule: ribosomal RNA, 465 nt
Filed under: uncultured bacterium
Lineage: Bacteria
Description: SSU rRNA
Rfam family: Bacterial small subunit ribosomal RNA
Source: RNAcentral